Molecule: ribosomal RNA, 430 nt
Filed under: Chloroflexota bacterium
Lineage: Bacteria; Bacillati; Chloroflexota
Description: Chloroflexi bacterium partial 16S ribosomal RNA
Rfam family: Bacterial small subunit ribosomal RNA
Source: RNAcentral
UAGGGAAUCUUCGGCAAUGGACGAAAGUCUGACCGAGCAACGCCGCGUGAGUGAAGAAGGUUUUCGGAUCGUAAAACUCUGUUGUUAGAGAAGAACAAGGACGUUAGUAACUGAACGUCCCCUGACGGUAUCUAACCAGAAAGCCACGGCUAACUACGUGCCAGCAGCCGCGGUAAUACGUAGGUGGCAAGCGUUGUCCGGAUUUAUUGGGCGUAAAGCGAGCGCAGGCGGUUUCUUAAGUCUGAUGUGAAAGCCCCCGGCUCAACCGGGGAGGGUCAUUGGAAACUGGGAGACUUGAGUGCAGAAGAGGAGGGUGGAAUUCCAUGUGUAGCGGUGAAAUGCGUAGAUAUAUGGAGGAACACCAGUGGCGAAGGCGGCUCUCUGGUCUGUAACUGACGCUCAGGUGCGAAAGCGUGGGGAGCAAACAGGA